This 279-nucleotide ribosomal RNA is filed under the name Myroides sp. NP-2. Its description in RNAcentral is "partial 23S ribosomal RNA". It matches the Rfam family "Bacterial large subunit ribosomal RNA", at positions 1 to 296 of the family's 2925-position model. Lineage: Bacteria; Pseudomonadati; Bacteroidota; Flavobacteriia; Flavobacteriales; Flavobacteriaceae. The record is from RNAcentral.
AUAAGCAAAAUAAGGGCGUAUGGGGAAUGCCUAGGCUCUCAGAGGCGAAGAAGGACGUGAUAAGCUGCGAAAAGCUACGGGGAUUGGCACACACGAAUUGAUCCGUAGAUAUCCGAAUGGGGCAACCCACUAUGUUGAAGACAUAGUAUCCGAUAGGAGGCGAACCUGCUGAACUGAAACAUCUAAGUAGGCAGAGGAGAAGAAAACAAAAGUGAUUCCGCUAGUAGUGGCGAGCGAACGCGGAAUAGCCCAAACCAAUGUUGUUACGGCAAUAUUGGG